CAAAUGAGUUUUAAAUGCCUACUUGAAUGUCAAAUUGGGACGAGAAUAAGUUUUUAAUUAAAUAAUUUUAAUUAAUUGAAAAUUUUAAAUUAAUUACACCUUGAACUAGAAAAGAAAACCAUUUGUCUCCUUUUUCUUUUAGUUUUCUUUUCCAUUUUGAUUGAAAAAAUUAUUUUCAUCCUAGUUGGACAUCCAAGUUAGCAUUUAUAACUCAUUU
RNAcentral lists this microRNA precursor (217 nucleotides) under Gossypium raimondii (Peruvian cotton). RNAcentral's name for it is "miR8771f stem-loop (gra-MIR8771f)". The record is from miRBase by way of RNAcentral. Lineage: Eukaryota; Viridiplantae; Streptophyta; Magnoliopsida; Malvales; Malvaceae.